GACGAACGCUGGCGGCGUGCUUAAUACAUGCAAGUCGAGCGAGGUUACUGUUUUGGAUCCCUUCGGGGUGAAGAAGCUUUAACCUAGCGGCGGACGGGUGAGUAACGCGUGGGUAACCUACCCCAAAGUCCGGGAUAACAGCGGGAAACCGCUGCUAAUACCGGAUGUCUUUACCUUGGGGCAUCUUGAGGUAAAGAAAGGUAACGCUUUGGGAUGGGCCCGCGUCCCAUUAGCUAGUUGGUGAGGUAACGGCUCACCAAGGCGACGAUGGGUAGCCGGCCUGAGAGGGUGGACGGCCACACUGGGACUGAGACACGGCCCAGACUCCUACGGGAGGCAGCAGUAGGGAAUAUUGCGCAAUGGACGGAAGUCUGACGCAGCGACGCCGCGUGAGCGAUGAAGGUCUUCGGAUCGUAAAAGCUCUGUCCUUGGGGAAGAAGGCGAAAGCUUGACGGUACCCAAGAAGAAAGCCCGGCUAACUACGUG
RNAcentral lists this ribosomal RNA (486 nucleotides) under uncultured bacterium. RNAcentral's name for it is "bacterial SSU rRNA". It matches the Rfam family "Bacterial small subunit ribosomal RNA", at positions 28 to 507 of the family's 1533-position model. The record is from RNAcentral.